AUACAAGCGAGCGGCGGACGGGUGAGUAACACGUGGGUAACCUGCCCAAGAGACUGGGAUAACACCUGGAAACAGAUGCUAAUACCGGAUAACAACACUAGACGCAUGUCUAGAGUUUGAAAGAUGGUUCUGCUAUCACUCUUGGAUGGACCUGCGGUGCAUUAGCUAGUUGGUAAGGUAACGGCUUACCAAGGCAAUGAUGCAUAGCCGAGUUGAGAGACUGAUCGGCCACAUUGGGACUGAGACACGGCCCAAACUCCUACGGGAGGCAGCAGUAGGGAAUCUUCCACAAUGGACGAAAGUCUGAUGGAGCAACGCCGCGUGAGUGAAGAAGGGUUUCGGCUCGUAAAGCUCUGUUGGUAGUGAAGAAAGAUAGAGGUAGUAACUGGCCUUUAUUUGACGGUAAUUACUUAGAAAGUCACGGCUAACUACGUGCCAGCAGCCGCGGUAAUACGUAGGUGGCAAGCGUUGUCCGGAUUUAUUGGGCGUAAAGCGAGUGCAGGCGGUUCAAUAAGUCUGAUGUGAAAGCCUUCGGCUCAACCGGAGAAUUGCAUCAGAAACUGUUGAACUUGAGUGCAGAAGAGGAGAGUGGAACUCCAUGUGUAGCGGUGGAAUGCGUAGAUAUAUGGAAGAACACCAGUGGCGAAGGCGGCUCUCUGGUCUGCAACUGAC
RNAcentral lists this ribosomal RNA (672 nucleotides) under uncultured bacterium. RNAcentral's name for it is "bacterial SSU rRNA". It matches the Rfam family "Bacterial small subunit ribosomal RNA", at positions 85 to 744 of the family's 1533-position model. The record is from RNAcentral.